AUGGACCCAGCAAGGAUGGGGCAUGCCCUUGAACCAGGAAGGAUCACAUUUGAUGAGAAGAUGGAGAUAAGAAGGGCGAUAGAAGAAGGAAACAUUCCCCACACCUACAUUUCUGCUAACUGCUUUGCUGCUUACUUUGUUCCUAACCUAUGUCAAAUGCGUACCCUUCUUCCACGCAAGGAGAAAGUUCACGUCUAUGGAGAUGGCAACGUCAAAGCGAUAUUCGUGGACGAAGAUGACAUUGCAGCAUAUACAAUCAAGUGUGUUGAUGAUCCACGGGCCUUGAACAAGACAAUAUACCUACGGCCACAGGAAAACAUCCUUAGUCAAAAUGAGUUGAUUGCUAAAUGGGAAAAGCUCUCAGGAAAGGUUCUUAAGAAAAUUCCCAUUCCGAGUGUUGAAUUCUUGGCAUCAAUGAAAGGUACAGACCUUGCUAAUCAGGUGGGGAUAGGGCAUUACUAUCACAUUUUUUAUGAGGGUUGCUUGACAAACUUUGACAUCAGAGAUGAUGGGGAAGAAGAGGCUUCUCUACUCUACCCAGAGGUUCAGUACACCAGGAUGGACGAGUACAUGCAACGCUAUUUAUAA
RNAcentral lists this ribosomal RNA (588 nucleotides) under Triticum aestivum (bread wheat). RNAcentral's name for it is "partial small subunit ribosomal RNA". The record is from RNAcentral. Lineage: Eukaryota; Viridiplantae; Streptophyta; Magnoliopsida; Poales; Poaceae.